CAACAACAACAACAACAACAACAACAACAACUCCUGCAGGAGACUGGCUUUGGUGGUUGAUCCUCGUGCCCGUGGUGGUUUUUAUAGUUCUGUUAGUGGUCGUUGUGAAAGUCAUCAGAUGGAAAGGAAACAGAACGCAGAUGGGUGACGAUGUUGCUGAUCCUGAAGGCGGGGUUUCCUACGCCUCCAUCAGAUACAACAAGAAGGGGAAAAGAGGAGCUCGGGUUUGUGCUAAAGACGAUGCUGACGAUGGUUCAGUGACCUAUGCCUCCGUCAAAGCUUCUUCUUCUUCUUCUGCUGCUGCAGGAGCCUCUGCUGAUCCCAGCAUCCUCUACGCCACCAUCAACAAAGAGAAGAAAUAAGAAUCCAAAGUAAAGUCACAACUCAGGUUUUUUCAGGUUUCUACACUGAAAACUACAGAGCCUUACAAGGCUCAGGUAGGACUAAAAUAAAAAGCAAUUUGGAAAACCUUAUUUCACGGUUUACAAAUCUGUGUGCACAGUUUAUAAACAGUGCCCAUGGAUUUGUAAACUGUGUGCACGGAUUUGUAAUCUGCUUGCACUGUUUUGAAAUCUGUGUGCACCAUUUAGGAAUCUGUGCCCACAGAUUGUAAAUCAGUGUGCAUGGAUUUGUCGAAAUGAUUGACAGCUUUUUAUUUUUUGUCUCACCUGAGCCUUGCAGGGCUCAGUAGAAAACAGAUACUGAUAGAUGUGUUUGUAUGAGACUUUGUGUUGUUAACUUUCAAGAGUUAUUGCUGUAAGAUGCUUUUCCUUCAAAAGAGGGCGUUGUAGGUUUACUAGUAGCACAAAGACCUAGCAUAAUACCUCUGCAUGAAAUGUAAAUCUACGGAGAUCCUGAAAUCCCAAAAAGGUUUUCGAAAAAAAUCUUAAAGAUAUUAACUUUUGUGCCCAAGAUAAUUAUAUUGAGAACUGGUAUUCAGAAAAACCUUUGAUUAUAUGCUCAAGUCUGUUAACGUUAAAGGCUUUAUAUGUGAUUUUUCACACUUAAAUGUAGAAAUCAAGAAUAUCCUCUGAAAAAAACUCU
This is a non-coding RNA of Labrus bergylta (ballan wrasse), 1044 nucleotides long. Lineage: Eukaryota; Metazoa; Chordata; Actinopteri; Labriformes; Labridae. The record is from RefSeq and is a predicted model, not a curated record.